CACGCUGUAUGGCAUGUGUGCCCAGCAGUGUCUUCCUGAUGUGUUCAAAAAGCAGCACUACAGUGUUUCAGCUGCUGGCAUCAUGGUUUUAAUGUGGACAUGCUGAUUGAACUUGGUGUUUCUGUUGAAACAAGU
Molecule: non-coding RNA, 135 nt
Organism: Anas platyrhynchos (mallard)
Lineage: Eukaryota; Metazoa; Chordata; Aves; Anseriformes; Anatidae
Source: Rfam